RNAcentral lists this ribosomal RNA (168 nucleotides) under Eustomias acinosus. RNAcentral's name for it is "partial 12S rRNA". The record is from RNAcentral. Lineage: Eukaryota; Metazoa; Chordata; Actinopteri; Stomiiformes; Stomiidae.
CACCGCGGUUAUACGAUGGGCUCAAGUUGACAGGAAUCGGCGUAAAGGGUGGUUUAGGAAAAAUAUAGUUAAAGCCGAAGCUCUCUCCGGCCGUUAUACGUGUGCAGGGGGAAUAAGCUCAGUCACGAAGGUGGCUUUAUCUGGCCUGACUCCACGAGAGCCGGGGAA